UACAGAGGUCUCGAGCGUUAGGCGGAAUCACUGGGCUUAAAGCGUGUGUAGGUGGAUGCCUAAGUACCUUGUGAAAUCCCACAGCUUAACUGUGGAACUGCUUGGUAUACUGGGUGUCUUGAGUCACUCAGGGGCGAGCGGAACAAAUGGUGGAGCGGUGAAAUGCGUAGAUAUCGCUUGGAACGCCAAAGGUGAAAACAGGUUGCUGGGGAUGCGCUGACACUGAGACGCGAAAGCCAGGGGAGCGAACGGG
This 253-nucleotide ribosomal RNA is filed under the name uncultured bacterium. RNAcentral describes it as "partial 16S ribosomal RNA". It matches the Rfam family "Bacterial small subunit ribosomal RNA", at positions 524 to 776 of the family's 1533-position model. The record is from RNAcentral.